UAAUUUUUAAUAAAAGCAAACUUGUUUCUCUUACUUAAAAAAGUAUCGUUUAUUUUUUCAGAUUUGCACACUAAGAUUGUCUAUUUUUUCAAAAAAAAUCUGCUAGGCUAUUAAUUGGAUUUCUAUUAUGCUUGUUAAAUAAUUUGGUGACACAUUUUGACAAUAGAUCUCUAUCCAGAAACAGGUUUUUUUGUCCCUUAGUCUUAUAGUUUUAUUAAUACACCUACUCUCUUCUAAUUUUUUUGUUUUAAUUGCUUUGGAAGAACCAUACACUUUCUAAGGGAUAUUAGUGCUGUAUAUGCAACAAAUGAGAACACUAAGAAGGGUGUUUUAUCAGCUAUGUUUCCUGUUGAUCCUGUGAAAGAAAAUUAUGUUCAUAAAGUGGAAAACUGUAUUUUUUCAACCUCCUUCUCAACUCCUUUCAAAUCAAGA
RNAcentral lists this long non-coding RNA (432 nucleotides) under Homo sapiens (human). RNAcentral's name for it is "non-protein coding lnc-ABI1-8:3". The record is from RNAcentral. Lineage: Eukaryota; Metazoa; Chordata; Mammalia; Primates; Hominidae.